RNAcentral lists this ribosomal RNA (461 nucleotides) under uncultured bacterium. Its description in RNAcentral is "bacterial SSU rRNA". It matches the Rfam family "Bacterial small subunit ribosomal RNA", at positions 29 to 506 of the family's 1533-position model. The record is from RNAcentral.
AUGAACGCUGGCGGCGUGCCUAACACAUGCAAGUCGAGCGGAAAUUGAUAGCUUGCUAUCAAUUUUAGCGGCGGACGGGUGAGUAACGCGUGGGUAACCUGCCCUAUACACAUGGAUAACAUACCGAAAGGUAUGCUAAUACAAGAUAAAACAUUGAUAAGGCAUCUUAUUAAUGUCAAAGAUUUAUCGGUAUAGGAUGGGCCCGCGUCCCAUUAGUUAGUUGGUGAGGUAACGGCUCACCAAGACCACGAUGGGUAGCCGACCUGAGAGGGUGAUCGGCCACACUGGAACUGAGACACGGUCCAGACUCCUACGGGAGGCAGCAGUGGGGAAUAUUGCACAAUGGGCGAAAGCCUGAUGCAGCAACGCCGCGUGAGCGAUGAAGGCCUUCGGGUCGUAAAGCUCUGUCCUCAAGGAAGAAUUUUGACGGUACUUGAGGAGGAAGCCCCGGCUAACUACGU